Molecule: ribosomal RNA, 853 nt
Filed under: Diaporthe inconspicua
Lineage: Eukaryota; Fungi; Ascomycota; Sordariomycetes; Diaporthales; Diaporthaceae
Description: LSU rRNA
Rfam family: Eukaryotic large subunit ribosomal RNA
Source: RNAcentral
CUUAGCGGAGGAAAAGAAACCACGUCUACGCGUGAGCGCACCUAAUUAUCUGGCUUCGGCCCGAGUGUAAUUUGCAGAGGAUGUUUCUGGCGCGGUGCCUUCCGAGUUCCUGGAACGGGACGCCACAGAGGGUGAGAGCCCCGUAUGGUUGGACACCAAGCCUGUGUGAAACUCCUUCAACGAGUCGAGUAGUUUGGGAAUGCUGCUCUAAAUGGGAGGUAAAUCUCUUCUAAAGCUAAAUACCGGCCAGAGACCGAUAGCGCACAAGUAGAGUGAUCGAAAGAUGAAAAGCACCUUGAAAAGGGGGUUAAAUAGUACGUGAAAUUGUUGAAAGGGAAGCACUUAUGACCAGACUUGGGCCGGGCGGCUCAUCAGGGGUUCUCCCCUGUGCACUCCGCCCGGCACAGGCCAGCAUCGGUUCUCGUGGGGGGAUAAGACCGUCAGGAACGUAGCACCCUCCGGGGUGUGUUAUAGCCUGGCGGACGAUACCCCCGUGGGGACCGAGGUCCGCGCUCCGCAAGGAUGCUGGCGUAAUGGUCAUCAGUGACCCGUCUUGAAACACGGACCAAGGAGUCGUCCAUUAGAGCGAGCGUUUGGGUGUAAAACCCGCACGCGUAAUGAAAGUGAACGCAGGUGAGAGCUUCGGCGCAUCAUCGACCGAUCCUGAUGUUCUCGGAGGAUUUGAGUAAGAGUUUUAACGGACGGACCCGAAAGACAGUGAACUAUGCUUGUAUAGGGUGAAGCCAGAGGAAACUUUGGAGGCUCGCAGCGGUUCUAAUCGUCUAAUAUGAGGCAUGGGGGGCGAAAGGACUAUCGAAACUUGUUCUAGGUAGCCUGGGUUACCGGCCUGUAG